AUUUUAAUAGUUGAAUACAACGGUGGUUUUUCAAGUCGCAGGUUUUGGUGAGAGGCCAAAUUAGAAUA
Molecule: transfer RNA, 68 nt
Filed under: Podarcis siculus (Italian wall lizard)
Lineage: Eukaryota; Metazoa; Chordata; Lepidosauria; Squamata; Lacertidae
Description: tRNA-Glu
Rfam family: tRNA
About the family: Transfer RNA (tRNA) molecules are approximately 80 nucleotides in length. Their secondary structure includes four short double-helical elements and three loops (D, anti-codon, and T loops).
Source: RNAcentral